UGGCGGCGCGCCUAACACAUGCAAGUCGAACGAGAGAGAAGGAGCUUGCUUCUUCGAUCGAGUGGCGAACGGGUGAGUAACGCGUGAGGAACCUGCCUCAAAGAGGGGGACAACAGUUGGAAACGACUGCUAAUACCGCAUAAGCCCACGGGUCGGCAUCGACCUGAGGGAAAAGGAGCAAUCCGCUUUGAGAUGGCCUCGCGUCCGAUUAGCUAGUUGGUGAGGUAACGGCCCACCAAGGCGACGAUCGGUAGCCGGACUGAGAGGUUGAACGGCCACAUUGGGACUGAGACACGGCCCAGACUCCUACGGGAGGCAGCAGUGGGGAAUAUUGCACAAUGGGGGAAACCCUGAUGCAGCGACGCCGCGUGGAGGAAGAAGGUCUUCGGAUUGUAAACUCCUGUUGUUGAGGAAGAUAAUGACGGUACUCAACAAGGAAGUGACGGCUAACUACGUGCCAGCAGCCGCGGUAAAACGUAGGUCACAAGCGUUGUCCGGAAUUACUGGGUGUAAAGGGAGCGCAGGCGGGAAGACAAGUUGGAAGUGAAAUCUAUGGGCUCAACCCAUAAACUGCUUUCAAAACUGUUUUUCUUGAGUAGUGCAGAGGUAGGCGGAAUUCCCGGUGUAGCGGUGGAAUGCGUAGAUAUCGGGAGGAACACCAGUGGCGAAGGCGGCCUACUGGGCACCAACUGACGCUGAGGCUCGAAAGUGUGG
This 714-nucleotide ribosomal RNA is filed under the name uncultured Lachnospiraceae bacterium. Its description in RNAcentral is "bacterial SSU rRNA". It matches the Rfam family "Bacterial small subunit ribosomal RNA", at positions 37 to 764 of the family's 1533-position model. Lineage: Bacteria; Bacillati; Bacillota; Clostridia; Lachnospirales; Lachnospiraceae. The record is from RNAcentral.